GACGAACGCUGGCGGCGUGCUUAACACAUGCAAGUCGAGCGAGGCUCCAUCUUCGGGUGGAUGCCCUAGCGGCGAACGGGUGAGUAACACGUGGGCAACCUGCCCUCAGCUCUGGGAUAACUCCAAGAAAUUGGUGCUAAUACCGGAUAUGACUACUGGCCGCAUGGUCUGGUGGUGGAAAGAUUUAUCGGCUGAGGAUGGGCCCGCGGCCUAUCAGCUUGUUGGUGGGGUGAUGGCCCACCAAGGCGACGACGGGUAGCCGGCCUGAGAGGGUGACCGGCCACACUGGGACUGAGACACGGCCCAGACUCCUACGGGAGGCAGCAGUGGGGAAUAUUGCGCAAUGGGCGGAAGCCUGACGCAGCGACGCCGCGUGAGGGAUGACGGCCUUCGGGUUGUAAACCUCUUUCAGCAGGGACGAAGCGAAAGUGACGGUACCUGCAGAAGAAGCACCGGCCAACUACGUGCCAGCCGCCGCCGUAAGAC
Molecule: ribosomal RNA, 486 nt
Filed under: uncultured bacterium
Lineage: Bacteria
Description: bacterial SSU rRNA
Rfam family: Bacterial small subunit ribosomal RNA
Source: RNAcentral